UUAAACGCAACUCUCUCAGCAACAAACCCGUAAUAUUAUACUGUUCCAAUAUUAAACACACAAAAUACAUCGGCCCAUAUUCUGACUUCAAGUUUGGACUAUAGUUGUGGUUUGACUAUCACUAGCCAACUAUGACACUAAUCAUUAAUAGGACAGGUUCAAUAUGGUUUAACUAUGGCUAGCCAACUAUGACACUAAUCAUUAACAGUACAGGUUCAAUAUGGUUUAACUAUGGAUAGCCAACUAUGACACUAAUCAUUAACAGUACAGGUUCAAUAAGGUUUAACUAUGGCUAGCCAAAUAUGACAUUAAUCAUUAACAGUACAGAUUCAAUUUGGUUUAACAAUAGAAAGCCAAGUACAACACUAAUCAUUAACAGUACAGGUUCAAUUUGGUUUAACUAUGGCUAGCCAACUAUGACACUAAUCAUUAAUAGGACAGGUUCAAUAUGGUUUAAGUAUGGCUAGCCAACUAUUACACUAAUCAUUAAUAGUACAGGUUCAAUAUGGUUUAACUAUGGCGAGCCUACUAUGACACUAAUCAUUAAUAGGACAUGUUCAAUAAGGUUUAACUAUGGCUAGCCAACUAUGACACUAAUCAUUAACAGUACAGGUUCAAUUUGGUUUAACUAUGGAAAGCCAACUAUGACACAAAUCGUUAACAGUACAGGUUCAAUUUAUCAGUUCAUUCAU
Molecule: long non-coding RNA, 692 nt
Organism: Lytechinus variegatus (green sea urchin)
Lineage: Eukaryota; Metazoa; Echinodermata; Echinoidea; Temnopleuroida; Toxopneustidae
Exons: 2
Source: RefSeq, a predicted model, not a curated record